Molecule: ribosomal RNA, 668 nt
Filed under: uncultured bacterium
Lineage: Bacteria
Description: bacterial SSU rRNA
Rfam family: Bacterial small subunit ribosomal RNA
Source: RNAcentral
CCCUUAGAGUUUGAUCCUGGCUCAGAGCGAACGCUGGCGGCAGGCCUAACACAUGCAAGUCGAGCGGAUGUAGCAAUACAUCAGCGGCAGACGGGAGAGUAACACGUGGGAACGUGCCCUUUGGUUCGGAAUAACUCGGGGAAACCCGAGCUAAUACCGGAUAAGCCCUUACGGGGAAAGAUUUAUCGCCAUUGGAGCGGCCCGCGUCUGAUUAGCUAGUUGGUGAGGUAACGGCUCACCAAGGCGACGAUCAGUAGCUGGUCUGAGAGGAUGAUCAGCCUCACUGGGACUGAGACACGGCCCAGACUCCUACGGGAGGCAGCAGUGGGGAAUAUUGGACAAUGGGCGCAAGCCUGAUCCAGCCAUGCCGCGUGGGUGAUGAAGGCCCUAGGGUUGUAAAGCCCUUUCGGCGGGGAAGAUAAUGACGGUACCCGCAGAAGAAGCCCCGGCUAACUUCGUGCCAGCAGCCGCGGUAAUACGAAGGGGGCUAGCGUUGCUCGGAAUUACUGGGCGUAAAGCGCACGUAGGCGGCUCUUUAAGUCGGGGGUGAAAUCCUGGAGCUCAACUCCAGAACUGCCUUCGAUACUGGAGAGCUCGAGUCCGGGAGAGGUGAGUGGAACUGCGAGUGUAGAGGUGAAAUUCGUAGAUAUUCGCAAGAACACCAGUGG